Long non-coding RNA from Ixodes scapularis (black-legged tick), 423 nucleotides. RefSeq lists it as uncharacterized. The record is from RefSeq and is a predicted model, not a curated record. Lineage: Eukaryota; Metazoa; Arthropoda; Arachnida; Ixodida; Ixodidae. The transcript has 3 exons.
CGACCGUCUUGUGCGUCAAGUGAAGCGAACUGAUCAAUCUGGGGUGCCGGCUUCCGGUUGCAGACCCGCUGUUCAACCCUGCCGUCAGGGACCAUGGCUCCCUUCCGUUCGUCGACACUCCCUGUGAGAGGCUGGAACGAACCGGUUCUGCAGAUUACUAUCAUCAUCGACGUCGAUCUAUGCCAGUGCAACAGAGGCGCAAGUGUGUGACCAAAGUUUGGAAGAUGUAUUUAAUAAUUUUCACUCGAGCGAACUUACCCUCCCGAAAAGAUAACAUCUGAGAUCCGAAAACUUGCUGGAAUUAUAGCUGAUCAUAAGUUUUGACAACAGCAGCUGCUGUGGCGCGGAAGUUGAAUGAAUAAUCAAGGUUCUUCGUUGUUUUUGUUUCGAAUAUGACGUAGUGCGGCUUAUGGCAGCUGAUGU